Molecule: ribosomal RNA, 253 nt
Filed under: uncultured bacterium
Lineage: Bacteria
Description: partial 16S ribosomal RNA
Rfam family: Bacterial small subunit ribosomal RNA
Source: RNAcentral
UACGAAGGGUGCUAGCGUUGUUCGGAAUUACUGGGCGUAAAGCGCGCGUAGGCGGCGAUACAAGUCAGGGGUGAAAUCCUGGGGCUCAACCCCAGAAUUGCCCUUGAAACUGUAUUGCUUGAGUGUCGGAGGGGAUAGCGGAAUUGCUAAUGUAGAGGUGAAAUUCGUAGAUAUUAGCAGGAACACCGGUGGCGAAGGCGGCUAUCUGGACGACAACUGACGCUGAGGCGCGAAAGCCAGGGGAGCAAACGGG